CCAUAAGCAUCCUAAAAUUACAAGCUACUUCCAUCGCUCUUGGCUACCUUCCAUCCAGAACUUGACAAUAAGACCCUAUUCCUAUUGUCUUAUGUUGAAGACAUCACUUACUUGAAUCAUAAACAUGGAGAAAUUGAGUGUGUGCUGAUCGCAAAGCCUCAUCCCUACCAGCAUCUAGUUUUCAUAAUGUUGGAAGGUGCCAUGAACAGUACCAGAGAAGAACAGUAAUCCAGCUCUGAAACAUUUUGAACUACAUUGAUGUGUGGCUUGACAAGACGAUGAAGCUCCUGGUGCAGCCGUUGGCACUGCCACAAGGGAAGAAUCCCAUUAAAUAAAGGAGUUAGCAUUUUUUAACCACGCCAUACGAAUUCAUGUAAAUAACACCACUGUAUUCUCUCAAAGACAAGGAUUUCUUCUGCAACAAGAAUGAGUAAUCCCAAUUUGGGCUUAUUUGGGGUAUAUUAUUCUGUAAGAUAAAACUGAAGAAAGAACAUAAGAGGAAAAGAAUAAUAGAAGCACCAACGGAAUAUUGGAAAAAAAAGAGAAGCAUCAAAAGUUGUCCAGCACCAGGGAACUUCACCAAUGAUAGCUCAACAACAUGGCUGCCUAAGCAAGACCUAAAGAAGUACAACACCAAGAGAUAUGCUAACAGGGAAAUCAGAAAUGACCACAAAAUAAAAACUUUUACCACACACUUGAAGCAAAAACAAUA
Long non-coding RNA from Peromyscus eremicus (cactus mouse), 712 nucleotides. RefSeq lists it as uncharacterized. The record is from RefSeq and is a predicted model, not a curated record. NCBI's taxonomy places the organism in Eukaryota, Metazoa, Chordata, Mammalia, Rodentia, Cricetidae. The transcript is spliced from 4 exons.